AUAAAACAUAUUAUUGUUUUAUAUGACCAUUCUUCAUUUUUCACUUGCCUUUCUCUCCAUUCCUAGGAUUACCAUCCUUCUGCCUAAAGUACCUGCUUUACAAUUGCUUUUUAUGAGACAAGCAAAAGAUGAUCAAGAGGAGCAUGAAAAAAUCCCCUGAAUCCAUUGGCUUUCUUCCCUAUACUGACAACAGUUUACUUGUGUAAGAAGAUGGAUGUCUAUUGCUUUUCUCUUGAUAUUCAUGGCACUGCUCCUCUCCAUCCAUAGGAUUAUCUUAUGUAAGUAAUAGUUCUUUCAAAUUUUGGGUGGAUUUUAAAAUGACUUGCUCCAACAGGGUUCACUCUUCUAACUAACACAACCUCUGAGUAGGUUUAAAUUCAAUUAGUUUGGCUAGUGCCAAAAUGUGAUCAGCUAUUAAUGAGUGGUCUGAAGAUUUUUUUUUUUUAAACUGAAAGGGUGAUUCUGUCAUUCACUUCCUGAAAAUUAGAAAAGCUCUUCUGAUUUCAUUUGCAUGUUGAGAUUUUCUAUUAUGACUUGUAUUCAAUUUAGCACACUCAAAUAUGAAGCAAAUCUAUUCAUUUAAUCUGCUGCCUGAGCCAAUAUCUCUGCAGCAAGAGAUAUCC
Molecule: long non-coding RNA, 623 nt
Organism: Pan paniscus (pygmy chimpanzee)
Lineage: Eukaryota; Metazoa; Chordata; Mammalia; Primates; Hominidae
Source: Ensembl